ACACCUCAACUCUCAUGGCUUGCCAUGAUGAGCUUGGACUAUGGGGGUCUUGCUGGCCUGUGGUCGGCUCCUCUCAAAUGGAUCAGCUUGCCAGUGUUUGGUGGCGUCACGGGUGUGAUAACUAUCUACGCUUGUGGUUUUCCACCAGGUAACCUUCAGCAAUGGAGGUUCGCUGGGGCUCAUAAACGUCUCUCCUCAGUGAGGACACAGCUCUUUGAAC
Molecule: unclassified non-coding RNA, 220 nt
Filed under: uncultured Tomentella
Lineage: Eukaryota; Fungi; Basidiomycota; Agaricomycetes; Thelephorales; Thelephoraceae
Description: sequence contains ITS2
Source: RNAcentral